UACGUAGGGUCCGAGCGUUGUCCGGAAUUAUUGGGCGUAAAGAGCUCGUAGGCGGUCUGUUGCGUCGGUUGUGAAAACCUGGGGCUCAACUCCAGGCCUGCAAUCGAUACGGGCAGACUAGAGUUCGGUAGGGGAGACUGGAAUUCCUGGUGUAGCGGUGAAAUGCGCAGAUAUCAGGAGGAACACCGAUGGCGAAGGCAGGUCUCUGGGCAUUAACUGACGCUGAGGAGCGAAAGCAUGGGGAGCGAACAGG
This 253-nucleotide ribosomal RNA is filed under the name uncultured bacterium. Its description in RNAcentral is "partial 16S ribosomal RNA". It matches the Rfam family "Bacterial small subunit ribosomal RNA", at positions 524 to 776 of the family's 1533-position model. The record is from RNAcentral.